UCAGGCCUAACACAUGCAAGUCGAGCGGGGUUUUCGGACCUAGCGGCGGACGGGUGAGUAAUGCGUAGGAAGCUACCCGAUAGAGGGGGAUACCAGUUGGAAACGACUGUUAAUACCGCAUAAUGUCUACGGACCAAAGUGUGGGACCUUCGGGCCACAUGCUACCGGAUGCGCCUACGUGGGAUUAGCUAGUUGGUGAGGUAAUGGCUCACCAAGGCGACGAUCCCUAGCUGGUUUGAGAGGAUGAUCAGCCACACUGGAACUGAGACACGGUCCAGACUCCUACGGGAGGCAGCAGUGGGGAAUAUUGGACAAUGGGCGCAAGCCUGA
RNAcentral lists this ribosomal RNA (330 nucleotides) under uncultured bacterium. RNAcentral describes it as "bacterial SSU rRNA". It matches the Rfam family "Bacterial small subunit ribosomal RNA", at positions 43 to 386 of the family's 1533-position model. The record is from RNAcentral.